RNAcentral lists this ribosomal RNA (380 nucleotides) under uncultured eukaryote. Its description in RNAcentral is "SSU rRNA". It matches the Rfam family "Eukaryotic small subunit ribosomal RNA", at positions 587 to 972 of the family's 1831-position model. The record is from RNAcentral.
AGCUCCAAUAGCAUAUAUUAAAGUUGUUGCGGUUAAAAGCUCGUAGUUGGAUUUCUGUUCAGGACGAUCGGUCCGCCCUCUGGGUGAGUAUCUGGCUCGGCCUUUGCAUCUUCUUGAAGAACGCAACUGCACUUGACUGUGUGGUGCGGUAUACAAGACUUUUACUUUGAGGAAAUAAGAAUGUUUGAAGCAGGCACAUGCCUUGAAUACAUUAGCAUGGAAUAAUGAGAUAGGACCUCGGUUCUAUUUUGUUGGUUUCUAGGAUUGAGGUAAUGAUUAAUAGGGAUAGUUGGGGGCAUUCGUAUUUAAUUGUCAGAGGUGAAAUUCUUGGAUUUGUUAAAGACGGACUACUGUGAAAGCAUUUGCCAAGGAUGUUUUCA